Long non-coding RNA from Hippocampus zosterae (dwarf seahorse), 1110 nucleotides. RefSeq lists it as uncharacterized. The record is from RefSeq and is a predicted model, not a curated record. NCBI's taxonomy places the organism in Eukaryota, Metazoa, Chordata, Actinopteri, Syngnathiformes, Syngnathidae. The transcript is spliced from 2 exons.
CACCCCACACCCACACAAUUCUCACACCAUUACGUGACUGUAUCGUGCAUUUUAUGCAGUUGGAGAGUCUUCUGGGAGCUAAUGAAUUUCCAUUUGGAGAGUUUGGGACAGUUUUAAUUGACGCUCUGUAAUGGGUAAAAUAGAGUGCAUAAUGUUGGGGGAGGGGGGGAAUAAAUAUCUUGUUUGUGAGGAAAAAAGAGUCAAUAUGGUGGUUGUCACAUCCACAUCAGUCAUCUUGCGGUUGAGCGGCUUUAUGGUUUUACCCUCCCACCCGUCCCAGCCCCCCCGUGGCUCCCGAGUGGCGUCGUCCCAGUCUGUCACUCAACCUGGGAAAGUGCGUGUCGCUUUUUGGCUGACAUAUAGACAGAAUUGUAUACAGGGUGUGUAUAUAAUGUGUGUUUGUGUGUGUGAUGGCGCAACCUGUGCUUUGCUGUGGUUGCAGCUGGUUGUGUUUACUGUGCGGGUCCCAAAGCGGUUCACCACAGAGGGAGAGAGACAACAUAUUUCCCCUGGCGUAAUCCUCGCUAAAUCUUCCACUCUCUUCCCGAAACGAUUUAUUCCUGCUUGGAUCGCUUUUGGUGGGCCAAGCGCGCUGGACUCUUAAUGGCUUGCACGUCUGGCCCCCGACAGUUCUGAGGCUUGGGAUGGGAUCCGAUUCUCGGCUGCAUCAUUGAAUGCGCAGAAGAAAAAAAAAAUGCUGAGCCAGUGACUUUGUCAUUGUUUAAGAUUGCAUAGGAGAGCGCCAGCGGAGUUUGCGGCUAGUCGCUAGCAGCUAGCGGCGAGUGCCUGGUGGUCUCGCGACAGCUGUUGGACUGCUCUUUAAAUCAUCAUAAUUCAUUUGUUUCAAGGCAAUAGUGACAGCGGUUCCAACCGGUCCAAUUCCGGAUGGCGAUAUGGCCCAACAUAAUGGCCCUUGGUAUCGACAAACUAUUCUGUUUAUUAAAUAUUCCAUGAAGACAAUAUUAACCAAAUUUUGACCAGUACUGGCUCAGUACUGGUUUUACUGCAAAAAAAAAUCACAAUAUAACUUAAGCUAAAAAAAAAAAAACAUUUAAAUCUACAUUUUUUGUUAACGAAAUAAAAGUGAAAGUUCUUUCGGGAUAAGAAAAA